CGGCUUGGGGAUUAGAACCAGCGACCUUUCGGUUACUGGUACAACGCUCUUAACCACUAAGCUACAGAAGAGCUGUCUGUAUUUAAACUAUAUUUUUAUUUUUAGCAACUACAAUGAAAUUCAUAAUAAAGUUUUCAGUUUUAGACAUAUUGACAUUUUUCUAUUUUUAAGUCAGCUUGUUAUUAAUUUUCAUUAUUCUUCAUAGUUACAUUUUCUGACUUUUGAGUUAAAAUUAUAUUUUGAUUUAAAAUAAAUUAUUCUGUUAAAUUCCAUUUAUCAAUUUUUAUGGCAAACCAAAUUAGAUGUAAAAGCUGUUAAACUGACGUCUGUACAUGUGUAUAUUUGGUAGGAGAAGGUAAUUUAAAAUAUGUAGAAAUAGAGAGGAAAUCUUCCAAUCUGCAGAGCAGAAUAAGGAGUCACAGAACAAUGAAUUCUUAUAACACUGGAAGAAAUGCUUCAAGAAAACCAAGCUUCAAGAUCUUUUCUCAUCUCAACUACAUUGCCGCUAAUACUGUGCCAAUGUCUGGAUUCUACCUAUCCCCUGCUUGUGAUAUACAAUGGACUACCAAUCAGUUAAAACUAUGCAGUCUUUAUACAGUCAAGUAUCUGUAUGGAGAGAGCAUUCCAAAGAUGGCAAUCCCAACAUAAUAAAACAUGGACAAACACACUUGAAGUAAAAGAUGCCCUAAAUCACCAUGAAACACCAUUGGACACCACUGGUCUCAUCUAAAGCUGAAAUAACUUCUCAGCAGAACCAUUGCUUCUCUAGACUGUUUUGAAAACUAUCUCCGCUCCUACUAUUUCCUGAGACCCUUGAGUCAAAACGAAGAACUUACCUGAAGUAAACGGCAACGUUCACACUCAAGACUACACCGAGAUACAUUUACAUAAUUCAUUUUAGCCUUUUUAUUUUUCAGCCAUUUAUUAACAAAUAACUCUGAAAAGGCAGAUGUUGAUGUUUAUUAAGCAAAACAUAAUGAAUCACUGUACUGCCUGUACCUUUGACCCUACACCUGCUUACUAAUAUAUCAGAUCUCAAACAGUAACAGCCCUAACCACCACCACACAAACCACAAUUGCUGUAUUCAAAUGUUGUUGUUAGUGCCUGCAUAUUCAAUGCAUGAAAGGGUUGCAUAGACUACAAGGUGUGAAUAAUACUGUAAAUUGAGUGUUUCACAACUGGAAAAAUAUGGUUAUUAUCAGGUAUUUCCCAAGUUGACAGUCAUACAGUAUUCAUAACCCAUCAAUACCCUUUUAUUUCAAUAGAAUAAACUAAGAACAUUUGUACAAGGCUAAGAUUUAAAUAAAUGUUUAUCACAAAAACAAUUAUAAGUUUUGAAAUGUAUAAGACAAAAAUCUUUACUGACUGUAUUCUAUGUAUUUGAAAAAUGUCUUUAAGCUUUGUCACUUGUUGCCUCCUGAACCAGUGUUCAUUUUCCCAACACAAUUGCUUGUUUUGUUCUUCCUUAGAAGUACUUUCCUUUGUAAAUCAUCAUGUUCUAUCGCAAUAUCCAUUAUAUUUUCAUUUGAGAUAUUUUAUUUUUGCUUUGCAUGUUGUACUAACUUGGUUGAAUAGGUGCAAUACAAAUAGAAGCCUUUAAAAUGGUUUGAAGGAUGUACUUUAAAGUUGGGUUAUCAGGCUAAAUGGUAUAUUGAAAGGGUGACAUUGUAUUUUAAUGUUAACACAUUACAGAAUGUGAAUAAACUUACGAGGUAUCAAUACGAAA
Coregonus clupeaformis (lake whitefish) is the source of this 1727-nucleotide long non-coding RNA. RefSeq lists it as uncharacterized. The record is from RefSeq and is a predicted model, not a curated record. The transcript has 2 exons. NCBI's taxonomy places the organism in Eukaryota, Metazoa, Chordata, Actinopteri, Salmoniformes, Salmonidae.